GGGGAACAUCGCUCAGAGAGUGCAGCUAUUAGCCAGUCGCCUAUCUUGAGGAGUCUUGCCAAAUGGAGGGCCUACUUUAAUUGCAUCAGAUAUACCCGCACUCGUAGACGUAUUAGACGUAUGAAAUUAUAUAGCCCCACAGGCCGACUUUGCACUAAGCCAACGCAUGGAGUGCCGCUGCCUCCUGCCUUCGCUACGUCAAGAAUUCUCGGGCGAUUAAUCUCCAGAAGUGUCUGGCCCACAGCGAAAGAUAACAUAGCCAUGAACGAUUAUGUGGCGAACCAAAACUCAGGCGAUUGUACAUAUUUUUUGGCUAAUUUUUAUGGAACGUCUGGGAGGCGUUAUAAACCUCCCGACCCAACUGAUGCCAUCUAAAUCCACCACAGGAAAGUUGAAAUAAAAUUGGCAAAAAUAUUUAUAAUCCUCUCUGGGCUAAUUGUGGGCCAUUAAAAAUUAAAUUCCAAAGUGCGUAAAUAAUUAUUAUUUAUGGAGUGUGCUUCAAUGGCCAGUAGCAGGGAAGAACUAUUUAAAUGGACCUCUCGAAGUGGGGAAAACUACUCUGCAGAUGCAGACUUCAGAUAUAGAAACGGGAAAUCGUAAAAAUUCAGUUCGAUGCGAUCAUAAAUUAAAGCAGGGAAACAAAUAUGGUACAACCAUAAAUCGAUUGGGCACUGCACUGACAAAACCCAUCAAAAAACAAAAAAAAAAGAUAUCGCUUGGUGCUCGUAUUUGUGCCACAAAGCAAGCGAAAUAUUUGUUAUCCCUGGGUAGUUAUCCAUGAGACUUAACGGCGCAAAAGGUGUGAAACUGUUUAACAAAGAGUUUGCUCAAUGGGCAGCUCAAAUAUUUGCAAGUAAUCGAAACAUAAAUUAGCAAUCAAUUAGGACAUGCCCACGGUCUACGGUCUGCUGGGGUUCCAGUGAUUUAUCAAACAAAACUGACGUCACAGCGCGACACUUCUGACGUCAAAAUGUCUCGUCAAAAGAAGUGCUAAAUGCAGGCAAAGUGGUACCAAAUGUAGACAUUUGUGCUGUUUCAGGUACC
Molecule: long non-coding RNA, 1044 nt
Filed under: Drosophila guanche
Lineage: Eukaryota; Metazoa; Arthropoda; Insecta; Diptera; Drosophilidae
Source: RNAcentral